Molecule: long non-coding RNA, 372 nt
Filed under: Equus caballus (horse)
Lineage: Eukaryota; Metazoa; Chordata; Mammalia; Perissodactyla; Equidae
Description: lncRNA (ENSECAG00000041615.2)
Source: RNAcentral
AGUGGGUCAAAGUGGCAGCCCGCCGCGCAGCUCAGUCCGGGCGGGCCCCCCUCUACUCAGGCGGCCGACAGCCAGACUGGGUCAAAGUGGCAGCCCGCCGUGCUGCUCAUCCCUGGGGGACCCACGCCCACUCAGGCGGCCGACCGCAAGUGUUAGUCAAAGUGGCAGCCCGCUGCGCUGCUCAGCCCUGGGGCACCCAAGCCCACUCCGUUGGCCGCCCGCCAGAGUGGGUCAAAGUGGCAGCUCGCCGCGCUGCUCAGCCCUGGGGUCCCUCUCCCCACUCAGGCGGCUGACCGCCAGAGUGGGUCAAAGCGGCAGCCCGCCUCCCUGCUCAGCCCUGGCGGCCCCCCCCCGACCCACUCAGGCUGCCGA